RNAcentral lists this ribosomal RNA (934 nucleotides) under Melanolestes sp. JZ-2016. RNAcentral describes it as "SSU rRNA". It matches the Rfam family "Eukaryotic small subunit ribosomal RNA", at positions 425 to 1272 of the family's 1831-position model. The record is from RNAcentral. Lineage: Eukaryota; Metazoa; Arthropoda; Insecta; Hemiptera; Reduviidae.
GCAGCAGGCACGCAAAUUACCCACUCCCGGCACGGGGAGGUAGUGACAAAAAAUAACGAUACGGGACUCUAUUGAGGCCCCGUAAUCGGAAUGAGUACACUUUAAAUCCUUUAACAAGGAUCCAUUGGAGGGCAAGUCUGGUGCCAGCAGCCGCGGUAAUUCCAGCUCCAAUAGCGUAUAUUAAAGUUGUUGCGGUUAAAAAGCUCGUAGUUGGUUCUGCGUGCCGCGCUGUCGGUUCGCCGCCUGUCGGUGUAACUGGCAUGUCGCGGCAUGUCCUGUCGGUGGUGAACUGUAUUCCCGUUGCUGCUUAGGCUUAACUGUCGAAGCAUGUAACGUGUGUUUUUCAGUUCGCCGAUCUCUCCUACUCCGGUGCUCUUAAACGAGUGUCGAGGUAGGCCGACACGUUCACUUUGAACAAAUUAGAGUGCUUAAAGCAGGCUGAAAUCUCUGCCUGAAUAGUGGUGCAUGGAAUGAUAAAACAGGACCUCGGUUCUAUUUUGUUGGUUUCCGGAAUAUGAGGUAAUGAUCAAUGUGGACUGGCGGGGGCAUUCGUAUUGCGACGUUAGAGGUGAAAUUCUUGGAUCGUCGCAAGACGCACUAGAGCGAAAGCAUUUGCCAAGUAUGUCUUAAUUGAUCAAGAACGAAAGUUAGAGGUUCGAAGGCGAUCAGAUACCGCCCUAGUUCUAACCAUAAACGAUGCCAGCCAGCGAUCCGCCGAUGUUCCUUUAAUGACUCGGCGGGGAGCUUCUACUCGGGAAACCAAAGCUUUUGGGUUCCGGGGGAAGUAUGGUUGCAAAGCUGAAACUUAAAGGAAUUGACGGAAGGGCACCACCAGGAGUGGAGCCUGCGGCUUAAUUUGACUCAACACGGGAAACCUCACCAGGCCAGGACAUUGGAAGGAUUGACAGAUUGAUAGCUCUUUCUUGAUUCAGUG